CAGUCAUUGAUCGAGUUUUCAAUCUUCCAGCUCUCUUCCGAAAACAUAACUUAUCUCUGCCACUCAGAUUGGACUUCAUAUUUCAACAGCAUUGGACAAUAUUCGCACGGACUCUGACUCGAUUAAUUUUGGUUCUAGUAUUCAGAGCACACAAGCUAUAUUUGGUUGGCUCUGGUCAAAUGCCAAUCAAUGCGCGGUCCUUACCCAGCUCUAUGGUGGGCCACGCUUAGUUAACAUUUGGCCAUAUUUUUUUUUUUCAGCGGGUUUAAUGCUUUAUAUAAAGACGGUCAGAAACAGCUACAUCGCAUAUAAAUAAUUUACAUUUCGCAUGGUCACGCACAAAUCAUAUGAUGGGGAGCUGCGCAGACAAAAACUGACAAAGCGAGGGCUGACGCCGAGCCAGUCCCCCUUCCGUUUUCCAUGAUUGGGUCUGGGAAUCGGAAGGCUUGGGCUUGGGUUCGGGUCUAGGACUGCAUGAUGCGUACAGAAGUGACAGUUAAACAUGGAAACACACUCAACAUGUUAAUUGAUAUGCAAGGCAUAGAGGGGCGUGGCGUGGCAGCAGGCGUUGGGGUAGACAAUAAAAGUUUUGCUGCCCUUUUUGGGACAAUGAAACUGUUGGUCAUGACAGUGAAAUUCUCUUUCACCGCCAUCGAUGCCGUUUUCCUCCACAUUCAUUUGUGAUCAAUAUGUUCUAAAUAUACCGCCUGAAGCCUGCGAGGCGGAUGUCAUAAACAAAACUGUGUGUGAGAA
Drosophila mojavensis is the source of this 753-nucleotide long non-coding RNA. RefSeq lists it as uncharacterized. The record is from RefSeq and is a predicted model, not a curated record. The transcript has 2 exons. NCBI's taxonomy places the organism in Eukaryota, Metazoa, Arthropoda, Insecta, Diptera, Drosophilidae.